This is a long non-coding RNA of Alosa sapidissima (American shad), 2889 nucleotides long. RefSeq lists it as uncharacterized. The record is from RefSeq and is a predicted model, not a curated record. The transcript is spliced from 2 exons. Lineage: Eukaryota; Metazoa; Chordata; Actinopteri; Clupeiformes; Clupeidae.
CGCGCGCACACACACACACACACACACACACACACACACACACACACACACACACACACACACACACACACACACACACACACACACACACACACACACACACAGGCACACUUCUGUGUCCCCUCUUUCAGCACCUAUGCCCCCACUUCAACCCUCAGCCAUCUUCAGCUGCCCUUACACACACACACACACACACACACACACACACACACACACACACUCACUGAGUGGACAGACUGUGAGACUGAAGGGGCAGACUGACCCAGAGACUCUGGAGCCAUGCAGGGGGGACUAAGGGUCAGACGGAACUCGGAGGCUGAAAGGUGAACAGCAGAGAAAGACCUUGGAGAUGGAGAAUCUGUCUGUCCGUCCCCUGUCCUGUGCCCGUCCCCUGCCCAGUGUCUGCCUAGCGUCCCUCUGUCUUAUGUCCCGUACCCUCCUGUGCACAGUCCCAGUACUUUUAACACUGGGCAUCUCAGAGGAACUGCGUCCAUGCGGUGACCGUGCAGCGUACACCAUCCGGAGAGCUCCAGAGACCGACCUUACCAACAUGGCUGCCUGCUUCACAACGUGACCUCUCCAACAUGGCCGCCUGCUCCACAACGUGACCCCUCCAGCAUGGCUUCGUGCAUCACAAUGUGACCUCUGCCUGACCUGGAAGUGUCCACCAAGUGACCGAGACAGACAGGCAAUGCCUGCAUACCACACAUGCUGCACUCCACCCACACCACUGCAACUCCACCCACACCACUGCAACUCCACCCACACAUGCUGCACUCCACCCACACCACUGCAACUCCACCCACACCACUGCAACUCCACCCACACAUGCUGCACUCCACCCACACCACUGCAACUCCACCCACACAUGCUGCACUCCACCCACACCACUGCAACUCCACCCACACAUGCUGCACUCCACCCACACCACUGCAACUCCACCCACACAUGCUGCACUCCACCCACACCACUGCAACUCCACCCACACCACUGCAAGAUGGAGGUGACGCCACGACGAUUUCCCAUGUUCUCAAUGCAGACUCCUCCCAGGUCCCUCUGUUCCGUCCACCAAUGUCCAUCAUGAUCCACCCUCCACUUUUGUGAACAGGCCUGGCUUUCAGCAAGGCAAAGAUCUCACCCUCACAUUGGCAACUCACUGAGCGACACAUGACAAACCGCUCAGUUUCUUCACCAGUCUCGUGAGUGACCAUGGAGUGACCUGAGCGACAAACUCACCGAGCCCCACAUGACCAACCAUUCAGUAUCUCUUCAUCAGUUUUGUAUCUAUGGACUGAUCCGAGUGACCAAUGCCGUAAACUCUUACAGAGCUAUGACCAUGGGGAUAAGGAAAUGACCACUUUAAUUAGUAUGAUGCUUGAUGUCACAUCGUAAGUUUUGUUGUGAGUGCAGCCGAGGCUGUUCUGUGUAUGUAAAUGGCCUGUAAAGAUGUCCAGCCUACUUUUAGGGCUUCUAGGAGUGUAUUCAUACAGGCACACAACUGAUGUCCGACAGCAUGGGGGGAGGCUCUCUGAUGCAGUAUGUCUGGCUCAACCAGCACCUCACUGCCCCUUCGUGGAUGAGCUUGGUAGUGCAGUUAAGUGUUGAGUAUUUACUGAUAAGCACAAGCAUAAUAAACCACCAGGCUCUGUACAUUACAAGCAUUUAGUACCAUUGCGUUGAGCAUGGUUAUGUAAAUGGUAGUGUCUAACUGGUUGUGUAAUCACAGAAGUUGUGUGACAAGCAAGAAAAAGUGACCAUGUGUGUGCUUGUAUACAUUUACCUCUGUCCACAACCAAACAAUUCUGGAGGAAAUGGAAGUCAGUCUGUAGUUGGUAAAGCAUCAGUCUUAAUCCCUGAAGUUUCCAAAAUCUCACAGAUUUUGUAUUGGCAUAUUGCAAAGACGGAGAUGGAGCUGGGUGCUGAUUUGCAGUGCCUAGCUCUGUUGGGAGAUCAGUGUGAGAGCCAUUUAAAUGAUUAAUUCCUUUUCAUACAAAGGUGAAAGACAGAGACACAUUUUUACCAAAGCUCUUACUGACACUAAGCACAUCAAGACACAUGGAAGAAGGGUAUGUUUUCUACUUAGUGCAAGAAAUGAGCUUAGCUUGUGCUAAUGUUUAUUAUUUAAGUCUUCAAUAAAGACAGGAUGCACAACUUUGACAUGCACUAAAUGAAUGCAUGGAAUACUGAUGAAUCAUGAUUUUGAAACCGUGUAGACUGAUCUUGGAUCCAGUCUCCAGUGUUGCACUGAAUAACGACAAGACGUUAAAUGAUAGAUGCUCUCAUCUGGCUGCAGUGGGAUCUGUGCUCUCACCCGAUACAAGGCCGGGGGGGGGGGGGGAGCGGACCAGCAGCAGACACGACGGGCUCAUGCAGAAGGUGACAGAACAGGACUAAACCAGAGAGGGAACAGGACCAGACUAGAGACCGAACAGGACUAAACCAGAGAGAGAACAGGACCAGGCCAGAGAGAGAACAUAAUAGAACCAGAGAGAGAACAUAAUAGAACCAGAGAGAGAACAGGACCAGACCAGAGAGUGUGUGUGUGUGUGUGUGUGUGUGCCCUCAGUCUGAUAUGGUCUGGUGUGUGUGUGUGUGUGUGUGUGUGUGUGUGUGUGUGUGUGUGCCCUCAGAGUCUGGGUUGGUCUGGUGGUCUGAGGAGAUAAGUGCACCGACUGACAGCAGUAGCACAUUCACCCAAAAGACUGUGAAAGGAUCUAAUAGGACGCCUCGAUAUCAGGACCCUUUCUGUUUUGUAUGCCAUAGACAGUUACAGAUGAUGAUGAUGAUGAUUAUUGACAACAGAGAAGAUGAUGAUAAUGGUGAUGAUGAUGAUGAUGAUGAUGAUGAUAAAAGUUUGUAAAAAAGUAAAUAAUUCUAAUUUCAAAUGAA